AGAUUGAACGCUGGCGGCAUGCCUUACACAUGCAAGUCGAACGGCAGCACGGGAGCAAUCCUGGUGGCGAGUGGCGAACGGGUGAGUAAUGUAUCGGAACGUGCCCAGUCGUGGGGGAUAACGUAGAGAAAUUUACGCUAAUACCGCAUACGAUCCAAGGAUGAAAGCGGGGGACCGUAAGGCCUCGCGCGACUGGGAGCGGCUGAUAUCAGAUUAGCUUGUUGGUGAGGUAAAAGCUCACCAAGGCGACGAUCUGUAGCUGGUUUGAGAGAACGACCAGCCACACUGGGACUGAGACACGGCCCAGACUCCUACGGGAGGCAGCAGUGGGGAAUUUUUGGACAAGUGGGACGAAAGCCUGAUCCAGCAAUGCCGCGUGCAGGAAGAGGCCUUACGGUUGUAACUGUCUUUUGUACGGAAGACGAAAACGGUCUCGCCCUAAGUUACGGCCG
RNAcentral lists this ribosomal RNA (452 nucleotides) under uncultured soil bacterium. RNAcentral's name for it is "bacterial SSU rRNA". It matches the Rfam family "Bacterial small subunit ribosomal RNA", at positions 26 to 474 of the family's 1533-position model. The record is from RNAcentral.